RNAcentral lists this unclassified non-coding RNA (377 nucleotides) under uncultured Oligoflexaceae bacterium. RNAcentral describes it as "contains 16S-23S intergenic spacer region". The record is from RNAcentral. Lineage: Bacteria; Pseudomonadati; Bdellovibrionota; Oligoflexia; Oligoflexales; Oligoflexaceae.
UCCGGUUUAACACCGGCAGUCUUCCUAGAGUCCCCAACUUAAUGCUGGUAACUAAGAACAGGGGUUGCGCUCGUUGCCGGACUUAACCGAACAUUUCACAACACGAGCUGACGACAGCCAUGCAGCACCUGUCACCCCGCGGCCGAAGCCGAAACCACAUCUCUGUGGCUGUCGAGGGAUGUCAAGGCCAGGUAAGGUUUUUCGCGUUGCUUCGAAUUAAACCACAUACUCCACCGCUUGUGCGGGCCCCCGUCAAUUCCUUUGAGUUUUAGCCUUGCGACCGUACUCCCCAGGCGGGAUACUUAAUGUGUGAACUCCGGUACUCAGUGGGUUAAUCCACCGAACACCUAGUAUCCAUCGUUUACGGCGUGGACUAC